This 468-nucleotide ribosomal RNA is filed under the name uncultured bacterium. RNAcentral describes it as "partial 16S ribosomal RNA". It matches the Rfam family "Bacterial small subunit ribosomal RNA", at positions 28 to 507 of the family's 1533-position model. The record is from RNAcentral.
GACGAACGCUGGCGGCGUGCUUAACUCAUGCGAGUCGAACGGAAAGGCCCUGCUUUUGUGGGGUGCUCGAGUGGCGAACGGGUGAGUAACACGUGAGUAACCUGCCCUUGACUUUGGGAUAACUUCAGGAAACUGGGGCUAAUACCGGAUAGGAGCUCCUGCUGCAUGGUGGGGGUUGGAAAGUUUCGGCGGUUGGGGAUGGACUCGCGGCUUAUCAGCUUGUUGGUGGGGUAGUGGCUUACCAAGGCUUUGACGGGUAGCCGGCCUGAGAGGGUGACCGGCCACAUUGGGACUGAGAUACGGCCCAGACUCCUACGGGAGGCAGCAGUGGGGAAUAUUGCACAAUGGGCGGAAGCCUGAUGCAGCAACGCCGCGUGCGGGAUGACGGCCUUCGGGUUGUAAACCGCUUUCGCCUGUGACGAAGCGUGAGUGACGGUAAUGGGUAAAGAAGCACCGGCUAACUACGUG